Molecule: ribosomal RNA, 636 nt
Filed under: uncultured bacterium
Lineage: Bacteria
Description: bacterial SSU rRNA
Rfam family: Bacterial small subunit ribosomal RNA (bases 1-541)
Source: RNAcentral
CCUACGGGAGGCAGCAGUGGGGAAUUUUGGACAAUGGACGCAAGUCUGAUCCAGCCAUGCCGCGUGCGGGAAGAAGGCCUUCGGGUUGUAAACCGCUUUUGUCAGGGAAGAAAAGGUUCUGGUUAAUACCUGGGACUCAUGACGGUACCUGAAGAAUAAGCACCGGCUAACUACGUGCCAGCAGCCGCGGUAAUACGUAGGGUGCAAGCGUUAAUCGGAAUUACUGGGCGUAAAGCGUGCGCAGGCGGUUAUGCAAGACAGAGGUGAAAUCCCCGGGCUCAACCUGGGAACUGCCUUUGUGACUGCAUAGCUAGAGUACGGUAGGGGGGGAUGGAAUUCCGCGUGUAGCAGUGAAAUGCGUAGAUAUGCGGAGGAACACCGAUGGCGAAGGCAAUCCCCUGGACCUGUACUGACGCUCAUGCACGAAAGCGUGGGGAGCAAACAGGAUUAGAUACCCUGGUAGUCCACGCCCUAAACGAUGUCAACUGGUUGUUGGGAGGGUUUCUUCUCAGUACGUAGCUAACGCGUGAAGUUGACCGCCGNGGGAGGUACGGCCGGCGAGGUUAAGGUAACGUACGAAGUUAGUAAGUUAGUUACGGCGUUGAGACGNGCGACGGACGACGACGAGGGAGGAGG